RNAcentral lists this ribosomal RNA (450 nucleotides) under uncultured bacterium. Its description in RNAcentral is "partial 16S ribosomal RNA". It matches the Rfam family "Bacterial small subunit ribosomal RNA", at positions 354 to 796 of the family's 1533-position model. The record is from RNAcentral.
GUGGGGAAUUUUGGACAAUGGGCGAAAGCCUGAUCCAGCAAUGCCGCGUGCAGGAUGAAGGCCCUCGGGUUGUAAACUGCUUUUGUACGGAACGAAAAGCCUGGGGCUAAUAUCCCCGGGUCAUGACGGUACCGUAAGAAUAAGCACCGGCUAACUACGUGCCAGCAGCCGCGGUAAUACGUAGGGUGCAAGCGUUAAUCGGAAUUACUUGGCGUAAAGCGUGCGCAGGCGGUUUUGUAAGACAGUGGUGAAAUCCCAGGGCUCAACCUGGGAACUGCCAUUGUGACUGCAAGGCUAGAGUGCGGCAGAGGGGGAUGGAAUUCCGCGUGUAGCAGUGAAAUGCGUAGAUAUGCGGAGGAACACCGAUGGCGAAGGCAAUCCCCUGGGCCUGCACUGACGCUCAUGCACGAAAGCGUGGGGAGCAAACAGGAUUAGAAACCCGUGUAGUCC